CGCCAUGGCGGGGCCGUACGGGGAGACCUUCGGGUCUGCCGGAUGCUGAGUAGCCGGUUCGCCAACCCCGUGCGGUUCCGCCUCCAUA
Molecule: non-coding RNA, 88 nt
Filed under: Pseudomonas knackmussii B13
Lineage: Bacteria; Pseudomonadati; Pseudomonadota; Gammaproteobacteria; Pseudomonadales; Pseudomonadaceae
Source: RNAcentral